UUGGGUAUAGGUUAUUAGACUAUUAGCUUUCAAAGCUAAGUGUAAUUAUUUGUUUGUCCAAG
This 62-nucleotide transfer RNA is filed under the name Girardia tigrina. Its description in RNAcentral is "tRNA-Trp". The record is from RNAcentral. RNAcentral also lists the same sequence under 1 other name. Lineage: Eukaryota; Metazoa; Platyhelminthes; Tricladida; Dugesiidae.